This is a long non-coding RNA of Rhipicephalus microplus (southern cattle tick), 371 nucleotides long. The record is from RefSeq and is a predicted model, not a curated record. Lineage: Eukaryota; Metazoa; Arthropoda; Arachnida; Ixodida; Ixodidae.
CCCUGCACACACUGCAAACGGCCCUGAAUCUUCGUCGCGUCGCUUGAUUGCAUUUGACCUCUUGUUUUCAACAAAACUGUGGAGGAACUCCGGCUGUUUGGGCCAUGGAGGGUGCACCAAAAGAUCCAGCUCAGCCUGUGAAGGUGCCAAUGAUCUACAUAUGUGGUGAGUGCCACCAGGAAAACGAAAUUCGUCCCAGAGAUCCCAUUCGUUGCAGGGAGUGUGGCUACAGGAUCAUGUACAAGAAACGUACCAAGCGUUUGAUUGUUUUUGAUGCAAGAUGAAGACAAGAAGAUGGAGCUUGUGAUGUACAUAAAUUUUGCAUUCUCAUUUUUAUUCAAUAAAUAAAUGAGUGACCCUGUAGGCUGUAA